This 490-nucleotide ribosomal RNA is filed under the name uncultured bacterium. RNAcentral describes it as "partial 16S ribosomal RNA". It matches the Rfam family "Bacterial small subunit ribosomal RNA", at positions 30 to 507 of the family's 1533-position model. The record is from RNAcentral.
AUUGAACGCUGGCGGCAUGCUUUACACAUGCAAGUCGGACGGCAGCACAGAGAAGCUUGCUUCUUGGGUGGCGAGUGGCGCACGGGUGAGUAAUAUAUCGGAACGUACUGAGUAAUGGGGGAUAACUAAUCGAAAGAUUAGCUAAUACCGCAUAUUCUCUGAGGAGGAAAGCAGGGGACCUUCGGGCCUUGUGUUAUUCGAGCGGCCGAUAUCUGAUUAGCUAGUUGGUGGGGUAAAGGCCUACCAAGGCGACGAUCAGUAGCGGGUCUGAGAGGAUGAUCCGCCACACUGGGACUGAGACACGGCCCAGACUCCUACGGGAGGCAGCAGUGGGGAAUUUUGGACAAUGGGCGCAAGCCUGAUCCAGCCAUGCCGCGUGUCUGAAGAAGGCCUUCGGGUUGUAAAGGACUUUUGUCAGGGAAGAAAAGGCUGUUACUAAUAUCGACAGCUGAUGACGGUACCUGAAGAAUAAGCACCGGCUAACUACGUG